GAAGAAACCAAACAGAAACAGAUGUUUUGAGCACUUUUUCAUCUGUUGAAGACGUUCAUCUAUUGAAGCCCUCGCUUUCUCUAAAAUUAGACUAAGAAGUGUACACACUUCUGGGACGUGUUUGCAGUUGAAAUACACGUGGAGUUUUAACAUACUUUGACAAAUAGGAUGCCAGGAAGAGAAUUCCGGACAAGGGAGAAUCACAAGCAGCAUUAAAAAGAAAAGCAAAUCCAUCCAGCAAUGAAAGUUUUUUCCGACUCCUCCGAAAACUACAAAAUUCUUCUCCUUCAUGAGGAAGGUGAGAGACAAAAGAGAGAAUAAUAGGAAGAGCAUUUUGAGCUGGAAAAAACUGAGUAUGUAGAGCUCAAAGGAAACACUCCAGAAAAAAAGU
This is a long non-coding RNA of Protobothrops mucrosquamatus (brown spotted pit viper), 391 nucleotides long. RefSeq lists it as uncharacterized. The record is from RefSeq and is a predicted model, not a curated record. The transcript is spliced from 3 exons. NCBI's taxonomy places the organism in Eukaryota, Metazoa, Chordata, Lepidosauria, Squamata, Viperidae.